This 660-nucleotide ribosomal RNA is filed under the name uncultured bacterium. RNAcentral describes it as "bacterial SSU rRNA". It matches the Rfam family "Bacterial small subunit ribosomal RNA", at positions 81 to 594 of the family's 1533-position model. The record is from RNAcentral.
UACGAAAUUUUAUCGUAGCGAACGGGUGAGGAAUGCGCAACUUUUUAUGUUUUUGUAUUUGAUAAAUUUUUUGACAAUAUAAUGACUCAAACUUUGACGUAAUGACGAAGCCGAUAACUCGGUACCAGACGGCAAAGUUUAAAAUAAAAAAUCUACCUUUUAACUCAAAAUAAACUAUACCUGUAAAAUUUUUGAUUUUUAUAGAUCAAACGUACAGAGUAUGUUAUAGUAAUAUUGAAUAAUAGAUUUACGUCGAAAAGCUUUAUAUAUUGAAAUUUUGAUUACUUAUAAAGCGUUAAAAGAUGAGUUUGCGUAAGAUUAGGUUGUUGGUAGAAAUAAUAGUUUACCAAGCCUUUGAUCUUUAGUUGGUCUUAGAGGACGUACAACCACACUGGAACUGAGACAAGGUCCAGGCUAUUUUUGGCCAGCAGUGAGGAAUAUUGGACAAUGAACGGAAGUUUGAUCCAGCAAUAUUAUGUGAAUGAUUGACGGCUAAUCUUUGGUUGUAAAGUUCUUUCGUUAAAAAUGAUAAUGACGUUAAUUAAAGAAGUUUUAGUCCCGGCUAAUCUCGUGCCAGCAGCCGCGGUAAUACGGGAGGGGCAAGCGUUAUCCGUAAUUACUGGGCGUAUAGAGUUCGUAGAUUGUAAUAUAAGUUGUAUG